Molecule: non-coding RNA, 5471 nt
Organism: Xyrichtys novacula (pearly razorfish)
Lineage: Eukaryota; Metazoa; Chordata; Actinopteri; Labriformes; Labridae
Source: the annotation of a GenBank genome assembly
AGUUGUUGGUCAGCAGGGUGAAGGGCAGGGGACUACACACACCUCCGCAGGUCUCUUGUGCUCAAUUUGAUGGUGCUGAAGGUGUUAUUGCUGAUUUGUACAGUGUGUGGUCUCUCACUGAGGAAAACCAGCAGCCAGUAUCACAGUGAGUUGUUGAGUCCUAGCUGGUCCAGUUUGAUGAUGAUUUGUUGUGGAAUAAUAGUGUUGAAAGCUGAACUGAAGUUUAUGAUGAGGCAAAGGUGAAGGAACGAAGAGGGAUAGUGCAGAAGGAGAUUCGGGCAGUGGAGGAAGAGGAUAGACAAGCCAAGGCAGUAGCCAUGAGACAGCAGGGCAGAUGGACCCGGUGGGACGGUGUCCGGGGACUAUCGCUCGGUUGGAAGGACAUCUGGAGUAUGGAGGGGCACCGGAUAAAGUUCCUCCUGAGCUCUGUCUACAAUGUACUCCCAACACCAACAAACCUCCAAAGAUGGAGAUUGACAGAGGAUCCCUUCUGUGCGCAGUGCAAGAGACCAGCAAACCUGGAGCACAUCCUGUCGUCCUGCCGAGCAGGCCUGACUGAGGGAGGUUCAGGUGGCGCCAUGAUCAGGUGCUGGCGCAACUCGCCGAUGGUCUGGAAAAGGAGAGGAAGUGAAAAGGAACAAAGGCCCAAGACAAAGGCCCCCGCUUCAUCAGUUUUCUCAGGCCUGGCGAGAAGGCAGGCAAGGAGGACAGAUGUGCAGGGAUCCUUGGUACGGCAAAGGAAUGGGAAAUGAGAGUUGACCUGGGAAGGCAACUCAAAUUCCCAGAGGAGAUCGCCGUCACCAGCCUCCGGUUGGAUAUCGUGCUCUGGUCCCAGAUAACAAAGCAGGUGGCCCUGAUUGAGCUAACGGUACCCUGGGAGGAAAGAAUCGAGGAGGCACAUGAGCGUAAGCUGGGGAAAUACCAUGAUCUCAUUUCCGAGAGCCAGCAGAGGGGGUGGAGAGCCUGGAAUCUACCAGUCGAGGUUGGCUGCAGGGGCUUCCCUGGACAGUCACUUUGGAGAACACUGGGGAUGCUCGGCCUCACAGGGGCAACCCGUAAGAACCUGGUGAACAAUAUCUCAAAGCAGGCAGAGUCAGCAUCCAGAUGGCCGUGGCUAAAGAGGAACGACCAGUGGCUGAACCAGGCUGGCAGAGAGGGGUGUCAGAGCUGAGUGGGGAAGACCUGUGUGGCUGAGGGGGCAGCUCCAGGACGCUGGUGCUGUUGUCAAGCCCCACCGUGGUGUCGUGGGCUAGUUGACGAAACACCAGGAAAACGGGGGGUGCCCACUUGAAAACCCGGUGAAGCCUCAAGGUCUGAAGCACACAGCUCUGACACCAGUUGUGUUUUGUUAGGAGGGAGCGACUUCUACGCUAGCCACCACACAUAAGGAACAGGAGGUAACUCCUACUAAGGGUGGUGGCUGCGAUACCUAUCGUUUUAAAGACCAUAAUCAGCAUUCUUACAUAUGAGUCCUUAGUGUCCAGGUGGGUGAGAGCAGGGUGGAGAGCAGCACUGUAUUCAUCCUCAGUUGACUGGUUGGCUCAGUUUGCUAACUGGAAUGGGUCCUGUGUGGAGGGGAAGAUGGAUUUUAUAUGAGACAUGACUAACUGUUCAAAGCACUUCAUGAUGAUGGGGUUGAGUGUGACAAGGCGGUCAUCAUUAACUGAGAUUGGAGUGGACUUCUUUUGCAUGGGUAUGCAGGUGGUGGUUUUGGAGCAUGCUAGAACAACAGCCUGGCUCUGGGAAGUCUUACAGAUGUCUGUUGUUAGGAUACAUUGUAAAUAUAGAAAUGGUUUGACGGAGCUGCAUUAAGAAUUAAUUAUUGUGCCCCUUGAAGUCAUGUACUGAUGGAUAACAGGAAGAAGGAUAAAAGCUCCAGGGAGGCUGCAGAUCACCCUGUAUAAAGAACGGUAUCCAUAGUAUGAAGGUUUUAGCUUUGGCUUCUCUUGACAUUUGGUAAGUAAGGUGUCUUCAACUAAAAAAAGAUGUUUGUGUCCUGUUUUUGAAGGAUGUCGCACCCAUGGUUGUGAAAGAGGAAGUAUGCAAACUGAUAGUGUGAUUGCGGUUUGAACAUAGGGUGGGGUGUUAGAUAAUAUCAUUUAUAUAACUUGCUUAUUUAAAGACUCUGUUGCACAUUCUUGACUCAUUGUAAUCAAUAAGUAGAGCUUCAACUGAGAACUCAUCUGAAUCCUCGUCUUUCCUUCUUCCCAUUGACGACCACGCGGGAAAAGGGUUAAAGGUAAAUAAUACCAGUUAGUACCUUCUUUAUUGUGUUUGGGAAAUUAGACAUAAAAGUACUCCUUAAUGUGAAAGGGAAAAACCACCCUUUUUUCAACACAGUGAAGACAUCUGACAUAGCCCCUAUGCGCAGUCAUGCAGCACAGGACCAGCAAUGUUGUGAGGACCAGCAGCCUUGCGGGUGUUGAUGCUGGAGAGUGUCCUCAUCACAUCCGCUGUAGACAGACACAGAGCCUUGUAGCACCCUAUAAUGUAAUAAUUUACUGAAAAUGUAAUAAAACCCAGUAAUGUAAUAAAAUAGUCUGACUGAUAUUGUAAUAACAUUUUUACCUAUAAUGUAAUGCCUCAUUACAUUAUUGAGAAUUUAUCACAUUUUUAGGAGUUUAUUUGUUUGUUUGUUUGUUUGUUUUCAAAAUUGAUAAUGUUAUACUUGACAGAUAAUGUAAUAUAUAUGUUCAUUUUCAGUCCAGAGUUCUACAUUAUGUGUUUUGAGAAUCUAAGAGUGUUAUAGACACUAGAUUUGAAACAACAAAAUGACUAUUGGGUUAAAUUGCACACCUUGAGUACCAUACAGCCAUAUGCAGGGACAUGCAACUACAUCCUGGUCCUACUGAGUGGGUUAUGGACGUUGGACCUUGGGAGACUUAGAACACAGAUUUCCAGCAAAUCACUAUCUCAUGAAAACAACCACAAACAAACAAAACAACUUUCAGUAACACUUCAUUUGGACAAGAAAAUACAUGGGCAUUCCUAACACCUGCAUACACAUCACAUGACACUCAACAUAAACAUAGGCCGAUAUAUCCACUCAGCUGAUGGGGCUCUGCUCUGUCUCUAGCAAAACCUGAAACGACUCUGCUCACGCCACACACACACACUAGGGGUGCAAUAGAUCAAAAAACAUAUGGUUCAGACCAUUUCUCGGAUCAGAGUCAUGGGCCAGAUCACUUUUCGGAUCAGCAAAAAACACACUCUGUCUGUCGUGAGCGCAACAGAGGGAUAGUUCAUCCACAACUUUUUUCUUCUGCUGAAGUGCGUGCGUGACGUGAUGUGGCAAUGUGGCUCAAGCACUUUCAGCAUGCGUUUAAAGCCCUCUGCAGCUAUAAACACACUGAUAGUGAUUGGGUUGUGCAUCAAGGGGCUGCUUAAAUGCUGUGGUGAUAAACAGUUUUUAUGCAAUCGCUUAUCAAAAAAAAAGGUCAUAUUACCUUCUUGUGCCACAGUGCCUGUACACACCGUCACUGUUUUAUCUGCUAACCUUUUUCCUUCAUUGUUAUAUUUGACAAGAAAGCCAAAAUGCUCCCACACAGGGGAUUUAAAUGAUGGAGGGCACUCAAGCUCCUCUGUUCCUCCACUCGCCAUGAGCAUGCUGCUCUUAACUAGUGUGUGGACUGAACAUGUGCACUUUUAAUUUUUUUCAUAAAUCAUUUCACGGAUCAUGUGUGUGCCAAACCGAAGAUAUUGAUCUGAACGGAUCAUGGACCAAUGAUGAUCCGUUGCACCACUAACACACACACACACACACACACACACACACACACACACACACACACACUCAAGCAGCAGUGCCCAGUUCUCAUGAUUAUUGAGCCACACUCAGACAAUCAGAAAUUUCUGCCUUUAAAGAUGAGAAACAUGCAAAAUGAUCAUGUCAAUUUUAUUGAAGUUCUGUGAUUUUUCAUUUAUACAAGUAAAUCUCACAAAGUGCCAGUACGGCAGUAUGUCAACUGACCACUAUGCCACUUGACAUAGAGUAAGAUGUCAAAUUGACAUUGAAAUUGAUUUAAUAACCAUUUAUGAGUGGAUAUGUAGGCCUAUGUUUAUGUUGGACACCAUGUGAUGUGUACACAGGUGUUAUGAAUGCUUAUGUAUAUUCUCUUCAAAUGAAGUGUUUCUAAAAGUUGUUUUGUUGGUUUGCGGUUGUUUUUAUGAGGUAGUGAUUUGUUGGAAAUCUGUGAAGUGAAGAGGUUCAUUUAGGGAAGAAUUACCUGGGGUCUCCAGUGCUGCUCAGGAUCUGAGCUGGAAUUGUAGUCUCCCAAGGUCCAAGGUCCAUAACCCACUCAGUAGGACCAGGAUGUAGUUGCAUGUGUGAUACUCAAGGUCUGCAAUUUAACCCAAUAGUCAUUCUGUUGUUUCAAAGCUAGUGCAUACAACACUUUUAGACUCUCAAAACACAUAAUGUAGAACUCUGGACUGAAAAUGAAUGUAUAUAUUACAUUAUCUGUCAAGUAUAACAUUAUCAGUUUUCAAAACAAAACAAAACAAAAAAAACUCCUGAAAAUGUAAUAAAUUCCCAAUAAUGUAUUAAGGUAUUACAUUAUAGGUAAAAAUGUUAUUACAAUAUCAGUCAUAUUAUUUUAUUACAUUAAUGGGUUUUAUCACAUUUUCAAUCGCAUUAAGUGCUAAUUUUUAUUACAUUUUCAGGCGUUAUUACGUUUUCAGGAAAUUAUUUCAUUAUAGGGUGCUACAGUAGUUCAAGCUUAGGGGGUAUAUGGGCAAAGGAUUUAUGCAGGUAUGUGUCCAGACAGGCCUUAACAUCUGAUCAUUAGUUUGAAUCACAUUUGUUUGGGAUGGGCUUGAGAUGGGCUAAUCUAAAACAAAACAACAAAAGCAACAACAAAAAUUUUACCCUAAUGCAGGGGUUUGUGGUCCUGCUGCUAAACAACUUGAAUGAUUUUCAUGUCAUUGUCUUCAAUAAUAAUAUUGUCUUCAAUUGUCUCCAGCACCUUAUUGUUUUCAGUGAAUAGAGCAAGUCAAAUAAACCUCAAGUUGCAAGAUUGUUUUUAGAGUGACCUUUAAUAAACCUGUGCAUGUACAGGUACAUAAGGUUUGUAAGCAUUUGUAAGUUUGUAAGAUGAGCUUAUCACUGAUAUUUAAUUAAUGGUUAAUUUGAUAGUCAUGGAGGGGUGGUACAGUGGUGAAGUGGUUAACACUGUCGCUUCACAGCAAGAAGGUCCUGGGUUCGAAUCCGGGUCAGGGUGUUUCUGUGUGGAGUUUUCCUGUUCUCCCUGUGUCUACGUGGGUUUACUCCAGGUACUCUGGUUUCCUCCCACAUCCCAAAAACAUGCAGAAGUGGGUUGAGGAUAAUUCGUCACUUACAAAUUGCCCAUAUGUGUGAAUAUCAGUGUGGAUGGUUGUUCGUCUCUAUAUGUCAGCCCUGCGAUGAGCUGGUGACUUGUUCAGGGUGUCCCCUGCCUUCGCUGCCUUGCUGGAAUAGGCUGCAGCCCAACCCC